This 3065-nucleotide long non-coding RNA is filed under the name Nicotiana tabacum (common tobacco). Its description in RNAcentral is "long non-coding RNA (NTAB_LNC005835)". The record is from RNAcentral. Lineage: Eukaryota; Viridiplantae; Streptophyta; Magnoliopsida; Solanales; Solanaceae.
CGCAAAACCCCAAAAGAGACACCCCCCCCCCCCCGAACUUUUUCUUCUUGAUCAUUAGAACAAAAAAGACCCAUCUUCUUCUACACUCCAAGAAUAGAAGCAGCGGCGACCCCUGAUCUCUUCAACAACACCAAAAUCUCCGCCGUCCACCCCCAUUUUCAGAAGAGAAAGAGAAACAACAGUUGUUCCUUUUCUUCUCCAAGACCCAACGGCAGGAACAACCACCAGACCACCUGAAAGUGGCCACCAAAUCUCCAUCUCCAAAAAUCCUGCCGCCACUCACCUGACUUUCGGGACUGCGAAAUUCACCCACAAAGCACAUCAAAUAGCAUGAAGCAGCUCCAAAUUUCUAGUCACUGUCACAGAGUCAAUUGAUUUUAUUAUUUUGAUUUAAUUCGAGUUUUCCGGCGAUCUCCAAAGCUCGAGGAACCCAUUUUUGUAGAUCUUCACUUGUUCUUUGAAAUUCAAAAAAAUACAAAAAAGAAUACAUAUUUUCUGUUUCUUUAUUUUUCGAUUCUGGACUGUGUUCAAGGAUGGACUUGGAUUGAAAUGUGGAUUUGAAUCCGUGUUAGGGUUGAGUCUUCCGGUGUCAAUUCGAAAUUCCAUCGGUUUUAAGCUUUCCGGCGCCGAUUCGAGUUCCGUCUGCCAUUCGUUAUAUUUUCAGUUCAAAGCAUGUGAAAUAAUUAAUUUUCAGCUAUUUGAGGUCCGUUUCUUUACUUAGCUUUAUUUGGAAUGUUGGGUUUAUUUACUGUUCACUACUAUGUGCAAUUAAAGGCAUAACUUGUCUAUUUGAGUUUGUUGAUUCGCUGUCAGCUUUUGUAUUAAGCUUGAAGUCUUUUUCUUUCUUUAUUGUUAACAUUUAUUCUUUAUUGAGUUUAAAAUAUGUCAUCAAUUUUGUUCUAUGAUGGGCAAAACAAAAAGGAAGUUUCUAUGUUUGUUGUUUGUAGAUACAAUACAGCUAGUUCCUAAAGGAUUAGAGGUUAUUGGUUAAACUGGUUUCACUGCAUUUAAAGGAAAAGAUAAAGAUGGGUAGCGCUACACAUACCCAAUAGUUCGUCAUCAUUAAUAUUUCUACUAAAAUGAAUGAAGGAAAAGAAGGCCAGAGAAUAGGAGUAUGGAUGGAAUUCUUAGUUUGAUACGAUGAGGCCAUUUUAAUAUUGUCUAUGUUCGCAGACCAUAAAUAGAGUCAAUUUCCUCGAUUUGGAAUUUAAAAAUAAACCGGUGACUUGGGACACCAUAAAUAUUCCAAGUGGCGACUCUGAAUAAAAUGAAUAAUCUCAUUUCGAUUAUUGUCACUUUAAUUGAAAAAACGUCCAUAUCCCUUAUGCGGGGUAAAAAGGAGGUGUGACAAUUCUUGCGACUCUGGUGGGGAACAAGAACCCAGAAUCUCUGGUUCAGGGUUCAAGAAUUUGAGCUUGUUAAUGUAAUUUUUACUUGGCUUUAUUUAUUGUUGAUAUUACUAUAUUUUGUGGACCUAAUGUGCUAAUUGUCGUUUAUUUACUGCUAUGAUAUUAUUUGAAUUGUAUUAAAUUGUGUUCUUACGCCUCCCUUCUGAAUCUUCUAAAAAUAUGGUGCACACGUACGCGUGGCCCACUUUUUGUUAGGAGUCAUACCAAAUAGAACAAGCCUGGAUCAGUAACUAGGCCGGAUAGACUUUCGUGCUCCCGGUAUGUUGCCGUCACAUCGGCUCUAGCUGUUCGCUCGGGUAAACCAGGUCUAGAACACAACCUCAGGUUUAAACCUAGAAUAACAUAACCUUAUGCUGAAUCCCUAGUAGGAACGUUCUUUGCAUCAUGUGCAUUAGACUUUGGGGACCUCAACACAGGGGUUGGGUCCGUCUAGGAUAGGUGUACCCAAAAAAUAAAAGAUCAUCCCGAUGCAUCUUAUGUGCUACAUGUUCCAUUCUUCAAAGGUAAAAAGGGUCAUUUGGCGGACCAAUGAUGGUUGAGGGUAAAGGAGAGAGAAAGAGGAUGAAGUGUGAAAAUAAAGCAAUUGGGGCCCAGUUAUAUUUUUCUUUCAUAUUUUUUUAAAGAAAAAGACAAAAAAUGAAAAAUCUAAAAAAAAAAAGAUCUUGCACUUUUCCAUCAUUUUUUGAAAAAAAAAAUCAAAAAAAAAGAAAAAGAAAAUCCAAAAAGAUUUUACAUGUUUCAUCAUUCUUCAAAGAAAAAAAAAGACAAAAAAUAUGUUUUCUUCAAAUUAGUGUUUUUUUUAAUUCUCUCCCAUAUCCAAUCUUCAUGAACUACGCAUGCCUGAUUCUUGUCCUUCGGGGCAGGAUAUGUAGGCAUCCCACAUAGGGUCCGGUCUUCCUAGUAAAUCUUAGGUUCUUCGCUUCGCGGGGUUUUAGCCAAAUAUUGCAUGUCUAGCCACUUUUGGCCACAUCGGCCAUACUUGUAAAAAUGGGGUCAUUUGCGCAAAAGUGGUUCAAUGACCCAUGUCUUAGAAUCUUGAGUCCACAAUUAGGUGUCAUAUUACUUUAAGGUCCGUCCAUUUUGAGUUUGCAUCUUUAGCCACUUCUGGCCACAUCGGCCAUUCUUACAAAAUGGGUCUUUUUUGCAAAUUAAUUUUGGGCCAUGAUUAUUGGGAGUUUGAAUCCACAUAAGCUUUAGUGAGGUAUUUCCAUGUCUAUGAGGUCGCCUUUGAUGAGUUUGCGCUAAUAAGCCACGUAGGUUAAUUUUUUUUAAAAAUAGCCACAAUCAUGUCUUGCAUGGGUCCAAUAGGGAGUGUUAUUGUCUCACAUAGUAUUCUAAGCCUUUAAUUCUAUUUGGUAUUAUUUUUCUCAUACAGGUGUGGAUCUACUUACCAGAGCUUGAGAAUGAUAGACGCCCCAGGACCAUCCAGUCAGGAUCACUACAUUCAAGAGUUGCUUAAGGAGAUUUUUUUUUGUUUUGAGUCUAUUUAUUAUGUUGUCUUGUACUUUAUAGUCGUGUCCAGUAGUAUUGAUUCUUUUAGUUGGUGCAAGAGUUUGUAGUAUAGUUGAGUUUGUCGAGUCUCUCAUUAUCGUACUUCCUAUGAUGUAUUUGAAACCAAAAAAUUUAUAAAUGAAAUCCAAAAGAUUUUGUUUUUAA